RNAcentral lists this ribosomal RNA (301 nucleotides) under uncultured bacterium. RNAcentral's name for it is "partial 16S ribosomal RNA". It matches the Rfam family "Bacterial small subunit ribosomal RNA", at positions 509 to 807 of the family's 1533-position model. The record is from RNAcentral.
CAGCCGCCACGGUAAAACGAAGGGUGCAAGCGUUACUCGGAAUUACUGGGCGUAAAGCGUGCGUAGGUGGUGGUUUAAGUCCGUUGUGAAAGCCCUGGGCUCAACCUGGGAAUUGCAGUGGAUACUGGGUCACUAGAGUGUGGUAGAGGAUAGUGGAAUUUCCGGUGUAGCAGUGAAAUGCGUAGAGAUCGGAAGGAACAUCUGUGGCGAAGGCGACUAUCUGGGCCAACACUGACACUGAGGCACGAAAGCGUGGGGAGCAAACAGGAUUAGAUACCCCGGUAGUCCCUGUCUCUUAUAC